This 1354-nucleotide long non-coding RNA is filed under the name Paramuricea clavata. The record is from RNAcentral. Lineage: Eukaryota; Metazoa; Cnidaria; Anthozoa; Malacalcyonacea; Plexauridae.
CUCAUACACUGCUUUUAGGUAACGUAGAACGUAAUUUAACCGCUAUACACUUCCCCAACGAGAAUAUACACUUCCCCCAUCUUCGCUACGUCACAAUUCAAAAAGGUUUAUUAGUGUUUGUAUUCAUAACUAUUCCAAUAUACACUGCUAACUUUACAAAUGAAUAAAAUCUAAGGUAGUCAGUACACUUACUUUCAUUACAAAACAUCGUAAAAUACAAAACAUGAUUGUUCGACAUUACAAGUCAUUGGAGUUGUAAAGCUUUGCCCACGAGCGCAAAACGACAGAUCUUCUGAAAACAUCUGGUUCCUGCUUAAUUAAGUUAACUAAGGUUCCUAGUUACUUCGAGGGUCACAUACCAUAGCUGUACCAUGAAGCUUUAUACGACAGUCUUCCCGUUCUUGUGCAAGGAUAUAACAACUAAUUCAGAAAAGGUUCUCCUUCAAAAAAUCUUAAAACAUUGAGCGCGGUGGUAUGAUGGGUAUUGUUCAUUUGGAGCCUUAGAUUGGGCAUUGCCUUAGUAAACCAAAUAGCCCUACAUCGAAAGUGUUCAUUAAAUGCGCUAGCAUUGUUGCCAAUUAAAUAUCCCGGGUUUAAGACUCUAAAUAGGAAGAUACCCAUCGUCCGUUGCGCGCUCAAUGUUUAAGGUUUAAGAUUUUUUAAGGAAAACCUUUUUUGAAAAAGCUAUAUGUGUGUACUGUAAAAGUAAAAACUAUAUACCUUCAAAAUACGUUGUUCUCUUUGUUACGUCCAGGGACCGAAACCAAGAUAUAAGCCACAUGUAGCAUUAUGAUCAUCAGGUAAAGUAGUGUUUCUCGUGUCUGUUGUUCAAUAGUAUGUGCAAAAAUCAAAGCUUUGCCUUGAAAACAUACCUCGGCUCUAUUAUGUUGGCAAAAGUUCCCAGUUCAUUAAUGACCACGGCUGAGCCUUUAUUAACAAACUCUAUAUAUGAAGAGUCAGAAGACCUAUAGUCUCAGAUUGCCAGGGCGGCCUGAACCUAUAUAUGAAAAUCAAGUAGCACAUGAGCUAAUACUUUAAAGGAUUCUUUUGUUCAGUUCUUCAGCAACAAUUUAUGUACUCUCGUCGCUUUCUUCAUCACUGGCAGGUUGUUUCACAUCAAUCUUGAACGUAUAUUCCUGAUCACAUCCCAGAUAUGCGUCACACAUGAAGUAUAGGACAUAUGAAUGGUUUCCUGUCUGCUGUGGGGCCACAAAAUCUAGUUUCACUCGAGCUUUCUGCUGCAAUGUCAGUCUUUUGAUCGAAAUUAAACUACAGGAAAAAAGCAAACCCCAGUUAAGCGCUAGAUUUUAGAGUAAGGUCAGCUUUAUGCUACCCUGGGUUCAGAUGUUUUCUG